Molecule: ribosomal RNA, 429 nt
Filed under: Bacteroidota bacterium
Lineage: Bacteria; Pseudomonadati; Bacteroidota
Description: Bacteroidetes bacterium partial 16S ribosomal RNA
Rfam family: Bacterial small subunit ribosomal RNA
Source: RNAcentral
UAGGGAAUCUUCGGCAAUGGGGGGAACCCUGACCGAGCAACGCCGCGUGAGUGAAGAAGGUUUUCGGAUCGUAAAGCUCUGUUGUUAAGGAAGAACGAGUGUGAGAAUGGAAAGUUCAUGCUGUGACGGUACUUAACCAGAAAGGGACGGCUAACUACGUGCCAGCAGCCGCGGUAAUACGUAGGUCCCGAGCGUUGUCCGGAUUUAUUGGGCGUAAAGCGAGCGCAGGCGGUUAGAAAAGUCUGAAGUGAAAGGCAGUGGCUCAACCAUUGUAGGCUUUGGAAACUGUUUAACUUGAGUGCAGAAGGGGAGGGUGGAAUUCCAUGUGUAGCGGUGAAAUGCGUAGAUAUAUGGAGGAACACCGGUGGCGAAGGCGGCUCUCUGGUCUGUAACUGACGCUGAGGCUCGAAAGCGUGGGGAGCGAACAGG